GCAAGUCGAGCGAACAGACGAGGAGCUUGCUCCUCUGACGUUAGCGGCGGACGGGUGAGUAACACGUGGAUAACCUACCUAUAAGACUGGGAUAACUUCGGGAAACCGGAGCUAAUACCGGAUAAUAUAUUGAACCGCAUGGUUCAAUAGUGAAAGACGGUUUUGCUGUCACUUAUAGAUGGAUCCGCGCCGCAUUAGCUAGUUGGUAAGGUAACGGCUUACCAAGGCAACGAUGCGUAGCCGACCUGAGAGGGUGAUCGGCCACACUGGAACUGAGACACGGUCCAGACUCCUACGGGAGGCAGCAGUAGGGAAUCUUCCGCAAUGGGCGAAAGCCUGACGGAGCAACGCCGGAAGGUCUUCGGAUCGUAAAACUCUGUUAUUAGGGAAGAACAAAUGUGUAAGUAACUAUGCACGUCUUGACGGUACCUAAUCAGAAAGCCACGGCUAACUACGUGCCAGCAGCCGCGGUAAUACGUAGGUGGCAAGCGUUAUCCGGAAUUAUUGGGCGUAAAGCGCGCGUAGGCGGUUUUUUAAGUCUGAUGUGAAAGCCCACGGCUCAACCGUGGAGGGUCAUUGGAAACUGGAAAACUUGAGUGCAGAAGAGGAAAGUGGAAUUCCAUGUGUAGCGGUGAAAUGCGCAGAGAUAUGGAGGAACACCAGUGGCGAAGGCGACUUUAACUGACGCUGAUGUGCGAAAGCGUGGGGAUCAAACAGGAUUAGAUACCCUGGUAGUCCACGCCGUAAACGAUGAGUGCUAAGUGUUAGGGGGUUUCCGCCCCUUAGUGCUGCAGCUAACGCAUUAAGCACUUCCGCCUGGGGAGUACGACCGCAAGGUUGAAACUCAAAGAAUUGACGGGGACCCCGCACAAGCGGUGGAGCAUGUGGUUUAUUCGAAGCAACGCGAACCUUUACCAUAUCUUGGACAUCUCCUGACCCCUUCUAGAAGAAUAGAGUUCUCCUCUUCUGGGAACAGAGUGAACACGUGGUGCAUGGUUGUCCGUCAGUCUCGUGUGUCCUGAGAGAUUGUAGGUUUAAGUCCAUCAACUACGCAACCUUAGCUUACUUUGCAUCUGUACGUGGGACCUUCAGCUUGAACUGCCCGUGUAACAUAUCGCGAACG
RNAcentral lists this ribosomal RNA (1123 nucleotides) under Staphylococcus epidermidis. Its description in RNAcentral is "bacterial SSU rRNA". It matches the Rfam family "Bacterial small subunit ribosomal RNA", at positions 57 to 1172 of the family's 1533-position model. Lineage: Bacteria; Bacillati; Bacillota; Bacilli; Caryophanales; Staphylococcaceae. The record is from RNAcentral.